Oncorhynchus keta (chum salmon) is the source of this 151-nucleotide long non-coding RNA. RefSeq lists it as uncharacterized. The record is from RefSeq and is a predicted model, not a curated record. Lineage: Eukaryota; Metazoa; Chordata; Actinopteri; Salmoniformes; Salmonidae. The transcript has 4 exons.
GUUUUAUUUGAUACAGGUACAGCUGCUGUUGGUGUGUUUUAUUUGAUACAGGUACAGCCUCUGUUGGUGUGUUUUAUUUGAUACAGGUACAGCCGCUGUUGGUGUGUUUUAUUUGAUACAGGUACAGCCGCUGUUGGUGUGUUUUAUUUGA